UUUCGCAAUGCCCGAAAGGGUGACGAAGCGACGCCGCGUGAGUGAGGAAGGCCUUCGGGUUGUAAAGCUCUGUCAGGAGUUAAGAAAUAUAAGUGUGCUAAUACCACAUUUAUUUGACGAAGGCUCCAAAGGAAGCCACGGCUAACUCCGUGCCAGCAGCCGCGGUAAUACAGAGGUGGCAAGCGUUGUUCGGAAUUAUUGGGCGUAAAGAGCACGUAGGUGGGUUUGUAAGUCAGAUGUGAAAGCCUUCUGUUCAACGGAAGAGUUGCAUCCGAAACUGCGAAUCUUGAGUGUAGGAGGGGAGAAUGGAACUUCUGGUGGAGCGGUGAAAUGCGUAGAUAUCAGAAGGAACGCCGGCGGCGAAAGCGAUUCUCUGGCCUAUUACUGACACUCAGUGUGCGAAAGCUAGGGGAGCAAACGGGAUUAGAUACCCCGGUAGUCCUAGCCGUAAACGAUGGGCACUAAGUAGAGGGGUUUU
RNAcentral lists this ribosomal RNA (478 nucleotides) under uncultured Candidatus Scalindua sp. RNAcentral's name for it is "bacterial SSU rRNA". It matches the Rfam family "Bacterial small subunit ribosomal RNA", at positions 364 to 832 of the family's 1533-position model. The record is from RNAcentral. Lineage: Bacteria; Pseudomonadati; Planctomycetota; Candidatus Brocadiia; Candidatus Brocadiales; Candidatus Scalinduaceae.